GAGUUUGAUCAUGGCUCAGGAUGAACGCUGGCGGCGUGCUUAACACAUGCAAGUCGAACGAACCUUCGGGUUAGUGGCGGACGGGUGAGUAACGCGUGGGAAUCUGCCCUCAGGAGGGGGAUAACGGUUGGAAACGACCGCUAAUACCCCAUAUGCCGAGAGGUGAAAUGAAUUUCGCCUGAGGAUGAGCCCGCGUCUGAUUAGCUUGUUGGUGAGGUAAAGGCUCACCAAGGCAUCGAUCAGUAGCUGGUCUGAGAGGAUGAUCAGCCACACUGGACUGAGACACGGCCCAGACUCCUACGGGAGGCAGCAGUGGGGAAUUUUCCGCAAUGGGCGAAAGCCUGACGGAGCAACGCCGCGUGAGGGACGAAGGCCUCUGGGCUGUAAACCUCUUUUCUCAAGGAAGAAGAUAUGACGGUACUUGAGGAAUAAGCCACAGCUAAUUCCGUGCCAGCAGCCGCGGUAAUACGGGAGUGGCAAGCGUUAUCCGGAAUUAUUGGGCGUAAAGCGUCCGCAGGCGGCCUUUCAAGUCUGCUGUUAAAGCGUGGAGCUUAACUCCAUCAUGGCAGUGGAAACUGAUUGGCUUGAGUAUGGUAGGGGCAGAGGGAAUUCCCGGUGUAGCGGUGAAAUGCGUAGAUAUCGGGAAGAACACCAGUGGCGAAGGCGCUCUGCUGGGCCAUUACUGACGCUCAUGGACGAAAGCCAGGGGAGCGAAAGGGAUUAGAUACCCCUGUAGUCCUGGCCGUAAACGAUGAACACUAGGUGUCGGGGGAAUCGACCCCUUCGGUGUCGUAGCUAACGCGUUAAGUGUUCCGCCUGGGGAGUACGCACGCAAGUGUGAAACUCAAAGGAAUUGACGGGGGCCCGCACAAGCGGUGGAGUAUGUGGUUUAAUUCGAUGCAACGCGAAGAACCUUACCAGGGCUUGACAUCCUGCGAACCUUUAAGAAAUUAGAGGGUGCCUUCGGGAACGCAGUGACAGGUGGUGCAUGGCUGUCGUCAGCUCGUGUCGUGAGAUGUUGGGUUAAGUCCCGCAACGAGCGCAACCCACGUUUUUAGUUGCCAGCAUUUAGUUGGGCACUCUAGAAAGACCGCCGGUGAUAAACCGGAGGAAGGUGUGGAUGACGUCAAGUCAUCAUGCCCCUUACGUCCUGGGCUACACACGUACUACAAUGCUACGGACAAAGGGCAGCAAACUCGCGAGAGCUAGCAAAUCCCAUAAACCGUGGCUCAGUUCAGAUCGUAGGCUGCAACUCGCCUACGUGAAGUAGGAAUCGCUAGUAAUCGCAGGUCAGCAUACUGCGGUGAAUACGUUCCCGGGCCUUGUACACACCGCCCGUCACACCAUGGAAGUUGGCCACGCCCGAAGUCGUUACUUUAACCCUUGUGGAGAAGGACGCCGAAGGUGGGGCUGAUGACUGGGGUGAAGUCGUAACAAGGUAACC
This 1444-nucleotide ribosomal RNA is filed under the name uncultured marine cyanobacterium. RNAcentral's name for it is "bacterial SSU rRNA". It matches the Rfam family "Bacterial small subunit ribosomal RNA". Lineage: Bacteria; Bacillati; Cyanobacteriota. The record is from RNAcentral.